AGGCUGGCAUGCAGUUGCGCGAUCUCUGUUCACUGCAACCGCCUCCCGUGCUCAAGCGAUUCUCCUGCCUCAGCCUCCCAAGUAGCUGGGAUUACAGGCAUGUACCACCACACCCACUAAUGUUUGUAUUUUCGGUAGAGAUGGGGUUUCACCACGUUGGCCAGGCUAUUUUCAAACUCCUGACCUCAAGUGAUCUGCCUGCCUCGUCCUCCCAAAGUGCUGGGAUUGAAGGCGUGAGUCACCGUGCCCGGCCUGCUUCGUUCAUGUAACUAAAUAUUUGUGAGGCCCUCAGGUUGUGUUCAGGAGGAAGAGACACAGGAACACAGAUGGAGGGCAAGAGGGACAGAUGGCUCUAGCUGGGCUGCCUGGGUGAGAUGCUGGGGCCUGGCCAGGACAGUGUCAGUUCCCAGAGGUCCUGGGACAGGGGAGAAGGGAGGUCAGGGUCACAGAGAGAGAGGCAGGAAGUAGCAAAGGCUGCAGACCCAGCCACAUGGGGCAGGGGAAGGAGAGGCUGGCAUUGGUG
This 523-nucleotide long non-coding RNA is filed under the name Homo sapiens (human). Its description in RNAcentral is "non-protein coding lnc-TGOLN2-1:1". Lineage: Eukaryota; Metazoa; Chordata; Mammalia; Primates; Hominidae. The record is from RNAcentral.